RNAcentral lists this long non-coding RNA (1383 nucleotides) under Equus asinus (donkey). RNAcentral's name for it is "lncRNA (ENSEASG00005037060.1)". Lineage: Eukaryota; Metazoa; Chordata; Mammalia; Perissodactyla; Equidae. The record is from RNAcentral.
GGUGACCGGGGGCUGGGAGUGGGGACGGGGCAGCUGGCAAAGGAGACCGAGGGGCAUGACAGGGAGGGAAGAGGGCACUGAGCAGCACAGGAACCGCCACACAAUCCCGGGUGGUGCAGUGGAGGCGAGUGGAGCGCUGGACAAAGCCUGACCUGUCUGGUGGUCAGGGAAGGCUCCCCAGAGCGGGGCCCUCCCAGCCGGGACCAGAAGUUCCGCAGGACCAGACCAUUCUGGGCAGACAACACCAUCUGUGGCCCUCAGACUCCAGCCUCCUCCUCCCCUCCCCACCUCCACGUGGCUGACCAGGACCCCCGCCACCCACCUCCAUGUCACUGCUGCCGCUCCCUCCCACCCACACCCACGUGGUCAGGAUGGGCAUCAGGAGCAGGCGGAUCCAGCAACUAGCUGUUAUGAGAGGAAACUUCUACACACACGUGUCCAGUCGCCACAGGCCCACGGAGGGCUGCAUCCCCGCCUGCUGCUGACAAUCACCGGGCCCGUGGGUGGGCCUGCCACACCACACAGCAAUGGUGGUGGGACUCCCGCGAUUACCACCCCGUAAGACUUGAGGCGGCCCACCGGCGCUGCAGCCCUCCUGCUCUGCAUGACGAGCGUUGUGAGAAGCUGCACAGUGAGGCCUGCGGGGCUGCAGCGACAGCCAGCAGAAACCGGGGCCUCCCCCGCAGCCGCAGGAACUGAGCUCCACCCCGAAUCCUGGCUGAACGAGCUGGUGGAGACCGGGUUCCAGGAGACGCGGCCGGGACGCUGAACUGCGCUGGGCCUGGGCUGCUGAGCGCAGAGCUGAUACUAACAGGUGUGGUUUAGGCCGCCAGGUCGUCCUUCGUUACACAGACGCAGAAACCUAACACAGCUGCCAAGGAAGAGUCCGCGGUCCACGAGCUGGAAACAUCACAAAGCCGGUCACAGCGCGGUGAAAAUCACCGACCACUGACGACGUCAGGACACAGGCCGGAAAGAGCGCCACGCGGAGGAUGCUCCUCAAUUUAAACAGCUCUCGGAUGAGUUGGGAAUGCAGUUGAAAAAGAGGCCCUGACAACCGAAUGCCCUGCCUGAUGAAAGUAGAAACGUAUCUGUAGCCACCCAAGACCAGGAUGAGUCGCCCGCCACGCAGGAGUGCGCGGGCCGUCCCUUCUCCACGGCCCCCGCUGGCCUCCACUGGGGACCUCUUUCCUCGCUCACUUCACGACAUGACAGUGUUUUGUUGCUGAGGAAAAGCCGUCCUCUGUCAGCCGAGGGGAUCAUGACAAUCUUGAUCUUUCCACUCAUUCUGGUGAGGAUGUUCAGAACACCCAGCGACAAAGGAGCAAGAGGAGAGUGUGGUCCCCACGGGGGCCCCCAAGCUGGCCGCAGAGCAGAGCAGAG